GAUCUUUAAAUCAAACUACAAAAUAGUUAAAAUAAGAUUAAAAGGACGCGGUAACCUUGACCGUGAUAAUGUAGCAUAAUCACUCGCCAUUUAAUUGGUGGAUAGUAUGAAUGGUUGAACGAAUAUCCCACUGUCUUAAAGAAAAUUAAAGGAAAUUGAAAUAAUAGUUAAGAUGCUAUUUUAAACUGUAAGACGAAAAGACCCUAUAGAGCUUAACUAUAAUCUCUAUUUAAAUAAUUGAAUAAUAUUUCAUAAAUAAUAGAGACUGGUAGUUUAGUUGGGGCGACUAUCUUCUAAAUAAAACGAAGACAAGCAAUGUUAAUAAGUAACUUAUUGUAUAAUAAAUUUAUUUAACAAUUAUAAAAAUAGGCUAUAAUGACCCGUUAAUUCUUAGUAAAAAGAUUAACGAUCAAUUGAUAAAAGCUACCUUAGGGAUAACAGGAUAAUUUCAUUUUAGAGUUCCUAUCGAAAAUGAAGUUUGUCACCUCUAUGUUGAAUUAA
Molecule: ribosomal RNA, 501 nt
Filed under: Clytia gracilis
Lineage: Eukaryota; Metazoa; Cnidaria; Hydrozoa; Leptothecata; Clytiidae
Description: partial 16S ribosomal RNA
Rfam family: Bacterial large subunit ribosomal RNA
Source: RNAcentral